UAAGGUGCCCAGCUAAAGCCUUCUGUAUAAACACAGAAGAGGUACAGUAUGGACAAUGGCUGUGCUGAAUUCCCACAUUACCCUGCCAGUGUGUCUGAACUCUGUUCAAGAGGGAGGGGUCAGAGAGCAGUUAAAUCGCCAAAUUUCAUAAUUCACUGAC
Molecule: small RNA, 160 nt
Filed under: Chelonoidis abingdonii (Abingdon island giant tortoise)
Lineage: Eukaryota; Metazoa; Chordata; Testudines; Testudinidae
Description: TUC338 (ENSCABG00000003099.1)
Source: RNAcentral